AUACGUAGGUGGCAAGCGUUGUCCGGAAUUAUUGGGCGUAAAGCGCGCGCAGGUGGUCCUUUAAGUCUGAUGUGAAAGCCCACGGCUCAACCGUGGAGGGUCAUUGGAAACUGGGGGACUUGAGUGCAGAAGAGGAAAGUGGAAUUCCAAGUGUAGCGGUGAAAUGCGUAGAGAUUUGGAGGAACACCAGUGGCGAAGGCGACUUUCUGGUCGGUAGCGGACGCUGAGGCGCGAAAGCGUGGGGAGCAAACAGGACUAGAUACCCUGGUAGUCCACGCUGUAAACGAUGAGUGCUAAGUGUUAGGGGGUUUCCGCCCCUUAGUGCUGCAGCUAACGCAUUAAGCACUCCGCCUGGGGAGUACGGUCGCAAGACUGAAACUCAAAUGAAUUGACGGGG
This 397-nucleotide ribosomal RNA is filed under the name uncultured bacterium. RNAcentral's name for it is "partial 16S ribosomal RNA". It matches the Rfam family "Bacterial small subunit ribosomal RNA", at positions 523 to 918 of the family's 1533-position model. The record is from RNAcentral.